Molecule: ribosomal RNA, 253 nt
Filed under: uncultured bacterium
Lineage: Bacteria
Description: partial 16S ribosomal RNA
Rfam family: Bacterial small subunit ribosomal RNA
Source: RNAcentral
UACGUAGGGGGCAAGCGUUAUCCGGAUUUACUGGGUGUAAAGGGAGCGUAGACGGUAAAGCAAGUCUGAAGUGAAAUGCCAGUGCUCAACACUGGAACUGCUUUGGAAACUGUUUGGCUGGAGUGCAGGAGAGGUAAGUGGAAUUCCUAGUGUAGCGGUGAAAUGCGUAGAUAUUAGGAGGAACACCAGUGGCGAAGGCGGCUUACUGGACUGUAACUGACUUUGAGGCUCGAAAGCGUGGGGAGCAAACAGG